UGCAAUCUGUGAUGAUUUUUAGAAGUACUCUGAUUAAUCAGUGAUUAUUUUACCAAAUCACCAUCUUUCGGCUGAGAUUGCA
This is a non-coding RNA of Vigna radiata var. radiata (mung bean), 82 nucleotides long. The record is from Rfam. Lineage: Eukaryota; Viridiplantae; Streptophyta; Magnoliopsida; Fabales; Fabaceae.